UGAAACUCAUGUUGAGAUUUAAUUGCCAGA
This 30-nucleotide non-coding RNA is filed under the name Mus musculus (house mouse). The record is from RNAcentral. Lineage: Eukaryota; Metazoa; Chordata; Mammalia; Rodentia; Muridae.